AUUGAACGCUGGCGGCGUGCUUAACACAUGCAAGUCGUGCGGUAACAGGCGUAGCAAUACGUGCUGACGAGCGGCGAACGGGUGCGUAAUACAUGGGAAUCUGCCCUUUGGUGGGGAAUAACCCGGCGAAAGCCGGGCUAAUGCCGCAUAAGAUCUUCGGAUGAAAGCGGGGGAUCGUAAGACCUCGCGCCGAUGGAUGAGCCCAUGUCGGAUUAGCUAGUUGGGAGGUAACGGCUCACCAAGGCGACGAUCCGUAGCUGGUCUGAGAGGACGGCCAGCCACACUGGGACUGAGACACGGCCCAGACUCCUACGGGAGGCAGCAGUGGGGAAUAUUGGACAACGGGCGAAAGCCUGAUCCAGCGACGCCGCGUGGGUGAAGAAGGCCCUGCGGGUUGUAAAGCCCUUUCAGUGGGGAAGAAAGCCUCGACCUAACACGUCGGGGUCUUGACGUAACCCAUAGAAGAAGCACCGGCUAACUCUGUGCCAGCAGCCGC
RNAcentral lists this ribosomal RNA (496 nucleotides) under uncultured bacterium. RNAcentral's name for it is "bacterial SSU rRNA". It matches the Rfam family "Bacterial small subunit ribosomal RNA", at positions 29 to 518 of the family's 1533-position model. The record is from RNAcentral.